CGACGAACUCUGGUAUUGAUUGGUGCUUGCAUCAUGAUUUACAUUUGAGUGAGUGGCGAACUGGUGAGUAACACGUGGGAAACCUGCCCAGAAGCGGGGGAUAACACCUGGAAACAGAUGCUAAUACCGCAUAACAACUUGGACCGCAUGGUCCGAGUUUGAAAGAUGGCUUCGGCUAUCACUUUUGGAUGGUCCCGCGGCGUAUUAGCUAGAUGGUGGGGUAACGGCUCACCAUGGCAAUGAUACGUAGCCGACCUGAGAGGGUAAUCGGCCACAUUGGGACUGAGACACGGCCCAAACUCCUACGGGAGGCAGCAGUAGGGAAUCUUCCACAAUGGACGAAAGUCUGAUGGAGCAACGCCGCGUGAGUGAAGAAGGGUUUCGGCUCGUAAAACUCUGUUGUUAAAGAAGAACAUAUCUGAGAGUAACUGUUCAGGUAUUGACGGUAUUUAACCAGAAAGCCACGGCUAACUACGUGCCAGCAGCCGCGGUAAUACGUAGGUGGCAAGCGUUGUCCGGAUUUAUUGGGCGUAAAGCGAGCGCAGGCGGUUUUUUAAGUCUGAUGUGAAAGCCUUCGGCUCAACCGAAGAAGUGCAUCGGAAACUGGGAAACUUGAGUGCAGAAGAGGACAGUGGAACUCCAUGUGUAGCGGUGAAAUGCGUAGAUAUAUGGAAGAACACCAGUGGCGAAGGCGGCUG
This 698-nucleotide ribosomal RNA is filed under the name Lactiplantibacillus pentosus. RNAcentral's name for it is "bacterial SSU rRNA". It matches the Rfam family "Bacterial small subunit ribosomal RNA", at positions 60 to 727 of the family's 1533-position model. The record is from RNAcentral. Lineage: Bacteria; Bacillati; Bacillota; Bacilli; Lactobacillales; Lactobacillaceae.